Molecule: ribosomal RNA, 441 nt
Filed under: uncultured bacterium
Lineage: Bacteria
Description: bacterial SSU rRNA
Rfam family: Bacterial small subunit ribosomal RNA
Source: RNAcentral
ACUCCUACGGGAGGCAGCAGUGGGGAAUAUUGCACAAUGGGGGAAACCCUGAUGCAGCCAUGCCGCGUGUGUGAAGAAGGCCUUCGGGUUGUAAAGCACUUUCAGUAGGGAGGAAGGUAGUGUAGUUAACACCUGCACUAUUUGACGUUACCUACAGAAGAAGCACCGGCUAACUCCGUGCCAGCAGCCGCGGUAAUACGGAGGGUGCGAGCGUUAAUCGGAAUUACUGGGCGUAAAGCGCAUGCAGGCGGCCUGUUAAGUCAGAUGUGAAAGCCCGGGGUCUUAACCUCGGAAUUGCAUUUGAAACUGGCAGGCUAGAGUCUUGUAGAGGGGGUUAGAAUUUCGAGGUGUAGCGGUGAAAUGCGUAGAGAUCUGAAGGAAUACCAGUGGCGAAGGCGGCCCCGUGGACAAAGACUGACGCUCAGAUGCGAAAGCGUGGGA